RNAcentral lists this long non-coding RNA (3951 nucleotides) under Daphnia magna. RNAcentral's name for it is "uncharacterized LOC123471320, transcript variant X2". Lineage: Eukaryota; Metazoa; Arthropoda; Branchiopoda; Diplostraca; Daphniidae. The record is from RNAcentral.
CAUAUUAAAUUUUUUAGCCAAUUUUCGGAUGAUGUGAUAAAGCGCCCGAUGGAAUUCGUGACAAGUAAUCAUGUACACAAGUGGAUUGUAGAUACUAUGGAGCAUGAAUAUAUCCCACAUAAACGCAAGACAAGGGAAAUGUGCAUAGCCAAAAUGGUAGGAUGUUGACGGACAAGCUGAAAGCUGCCUGGACUUCCAAUCGAUUCACUUUUGAGGCCGCCUGUUUCCAAUAAAUUUGUCGAAAAUUGACCUGGUGGUCAGUAGUCGAUGACGAUUGAGCGUUUUCGUUGAGGUGUUGUGUUGCAUUUUGUGUUGUGCUAGGAAUCUCCGGAUUUAUAAAGAUGGUGAAUUUUAGACUGGACAUGUUUUUUGAAAACCAUUAUGGAGAAGAAAUGUGGAUUACACAGGAAUUUCCAGCAAAGUCAAGUGUAAUUACCGGAAUUGAAGUUUGAAGGCCGAACAGAAGAAUUAACAAAUCUGACUGUGACAGAAGGCUGGCGAUAACUUGGCAGAUAUUGUUGAAUGACGGCCCUUGAUUCCACGAAGAUUAAAACGUGGAGAAUGACACAAAUCAAACCCACAAACAAGUCCCAGGAAAGCACCGUAUUCAAAUGACUCAAAUUGAUGGUGCAGGCGUAAAUGGAUCGAUAGCCCAUCCAGAACGGACUGUUUUCUUGUACCAUUCGUAACGAAUUAUAGACACGUAACGAUCUAUAGCUGCCAACAGCAGACACUGCAGGAGGAUUGAGUAAUCCAUCGGAUAAAUGCGCAUUCAAGCAAGAAGAGACACUCGAAGAACGAAAUGGCAACCCAGAAGAUGUGACGUGGAUAUCGUAACUGUCUGGAACUGCUCACUACUAAGAUGACGAUGCAAUUCAGAAACGUCCCAACAGCUAUGACCAAAGUCCGGUAGAAUUCCUGAAUGAUGGAAAUGUUUUGUUCCAUGAUCUGGUAUUCGAGCAAAUUGAGCGAUACAUUUGUUGCAGGCUUCUAUAUAACCACUUGUUACCUCACUGGCGGCGAAUUCAUCCCGCAUGCGCGGCAAUUAUUCGAAUAUAGCGACUGUCGAACUUUUCCAUUACAGUAAUAAGAGAUUGUACAGCCCACGUAUGAACCAUUUAACAUUUUUUGUAGCUACACGACAUGAUUAAAGCCAGAUAUUAUUAAUUAAAUAAUUGUGUUUGUCACUGUAAUUUAGCCUCGAGAACACACGAAUUGUCAAUAACGGCUCCGUGUUGAGAUGAUUAAACGCAGCAGUCAGCCCGAUCUGCUUGUUGAUAGGUCUCGCAAAAUGAAACAAAACUUAACAACUCCAAUACUCUUACGAAAUGAUGUACAACGAGUAUGUGUAUUAUGGCAAGCCAAAGACGAAGAAGGUGCAUCUAUAGGUCAUAGACAAUUGUGUGCAUUUGCCACACAUGCUACGCUUUUAAAGAAAUGAUCGCUCAUCCUCCACACAUUUCUCUGUGUCCUUGCAUUUUAGCUGCAGGAUAUUUAGAGUUUUGGACGGAAACUCAGUCAGCAGUUUGGAUUUCAGGUGUGCCUGAGCAAGUACAACUUGGUUUAAUCUGCGGUUCUAAUGGAUUUAUUCAGACCCACUACAAUUGUGUUUCGGAGUAAGAACAUGUUCGAUUGGACAGCUGAGCUUUCUGGAGUCUGCUUGAACACGUUGCAAGAAAAGGCAAGAGACGAGAGAAAUCUAUCUUUCAAACAACUUACGUUCCAGCACUUCACAUCGUCUCAGCUGCCCGGUUCAAGCAAAGUUUGAAAAGCCCAGGAAGGACUAAUCCACGUCGUAAACAAGGUCGUUUCGCCGGCUGGAGAGUUCACAACUGUCUUCCCGAAGAGAUAUGACCACAACGCGAUAAUCACUGGUGUGGCGCUACCAUCAUCUCCGAGCAUUUUGUCCUCACAGCCGCCCAUUGCAUGGAAGAUUUUCCCAAGGUCUCUACGUUUUGCGAGUUGGUGACUACACUACCGAGGAAAGUGACAUAGAGGAUCAGUUCACUGUCGAGCAAAUGCAUCUUCCCAAAGAAUUGGGACAAGGAGGACAUUUGAAUAACGAUAUCGCUCUCUUCCGUGUCAAAACAAAAGGCAACCGAGACCUACGGUUCGAUUCUCACGCGCAGCCUCUGUGCCUUCCAACUCCGGAUACCGCCUACGUUCCAGGAACAAAUCGCACUAUCUGGUCCAUUUCCCAAGCGCGGUGGACCAGAAGUUCACCUGGUCAACCCGGAGCAGCAUUUGCAAUCAAACUACAAUCGGCUACCGUUCCGAUUUCGCUGGAUGGAACGUGUAAAACACCUUACGUGUAUGGUCCCGAUCAGAUCAAAGUUGGGAUGUUUUGUGCUGGUCUCCUCGAAGGUGGUGUAGACGCUUGUCUAGGCUAUUCUGGUGGCGGAUUAGUCUGUCUAGUUGACGGCAAGCUGACAUUAAUGGAAGUCAUCGGCUGGGGUUUCGGGUGUGGACGCCCUAGCCGCCCCGAUGUUUACACACGCGUUGUCCAUUGUCUGCCAUAUACACUUUCAGCGGAUUUUAACGGAAGUGCCCAGGUCAUAUUGGAACAUAAAAAUUUCUUUCUGUUUCUAUCCAGCAGCUGAAAAGGAUUUCACGGGGUAACCCAUUUUUGACUGAAGAGCUGUACGAUCUUCUUUUCGAGUAAAAGUUGAAGCAUAUCUGUCAUGGAGGGAAGAAUAAAAGUUUGAAAACAGCUGGGUAAUGUCAAUCAAAAGUUCUGUUUUUGGCUUUAUUUUUCCCUGUUAAUAUAAUACCUUACCGUCCUGUUUGUUUUCAACUGGGCGUUCAAUCCAGAUUGCACUGAAUCUAUCAUUCAGCAUCAGAAAGAAUGAACUGCAAUGGGGUUCAAACUCAUCUUGAUGUCCUUUAUAAAAUGUCCUUUUUUGGUUCUAUGUGUGAGUGAGUGCUGGUUUCUAGCAGUUUUUCUUUUUUCUAUGCCAGGAGACGAUGGAGCUGAUCGAUAUACUAGUUUCUUCCAUUCUCAUGGAAAACGACUACUAGCCCUGCGGAAAACAGACAACUGAACCAUGAUAACGUUUUCCUGCCCUGACCUAGACAAGUAAAGAUCGACAGCAUCGCUCAACAACAGGGCUUGUCAACUGUAUUUGGAAGCAAAGAGGAAAUGGAAAAAAGAUUGGCUGCCAAGAUAUAUGCACUGAACCGGCUGGGAAAAGACCUGCGCUGAACCUUAUAGAUCUUAUCAUGGCAUUUUUAAUAUUUCUUACGUUAGCCUAGUCAACCACUCAGCGAAAUUAGAUUGUGUGAUAAUGUGAUAUUACGUGAUUACUAGAGAGUGUGUAGGUGUACAACCUACGUGGAAAAUUCAAUGACAACCUUCGCGAUCACUGCGACAGUCUAGCAAGUUUGCAGGGUGAACGUGUAGCCUUCACAUGAUAUAAUUUCAGUUCUUGGUAUUUUCUCCGGGAGUGAUGUUGCGGCAUACGUCUAAAAUUUAUUAAGACCUUAAACAGCUUACUGUGCAGGAGCUCGCAUGAUCGUCUUUGCUGAUCCUUCUGAAUCAUUGAACAACAAGUAGCAACAAAUAAUAUCAGGAUUGGUGAAACCUGUUAGAAAAAAUUUGCAUCAAGCAAUCUUCCUCGGAUGGUCGCUGAAGCGCUGGCUUUUGAGGCAAGACUACAUAGCUUCCGAAAUAGAUACCGGCAGAACGAAGAAUCCAUCGAUUGAUGUAACGGAUUACAAGAAACAAAACGUUUGGUGCGUAAUCUAUUGUAACAAAUGUUUUCGUUGGGAAACUAAUACUUCACGGCAUGAAACUACACACCGCUACAGCAUGGAAUUGAUCGCCCAUACUCAAUUUAUAAAUGUCCUUUGUGACGUUCGUGAACAGCAAAAGGACAUUGCGUCUUCAAUCCAAGGGGAAAACAUUACGUGGCGUGCCCGCCGGAAAUCGUGACAGCUGAUCAUGUACAUGAG